This 427-nucleotide ribosomal RNA is filed under the name uncultured bacterium. RNAcentral's name for it is "bacterial SSU rRNA". It matches the Rfam family "Bacterial small subunit ribosomal RNA", at positions 355 to 774 of the family's 1533-position model. The record is from RNAcentral.
UGGGGAAUUUUGGACAAUGGGCGCAAGCCUGAUCCAGCCAUGCCGCGUGAGUGAAGAAGGCCUUCGGGUUGUAAAGCUCUUUCGGACGGGAAGAAAUGGCGGGCUCUAACAUAGCCUGUCGAUGACGGUACCGUAAGAAGAAGCACCGGCUAACUACGUGCCAGCAGCCGCGGUAAUACGAAGGGUGCAAGCGUUACUCGGAAUUACUGGGCGUAAAGCGUGCGUAGGUGGUUGUUUAAGUCUGAUGUGAAAGCCCUGGGCUCAACCUGGGAAUGGCAUUGGAAACUGGGCAGCUAGAGUGCGGUAGAGGGUAGUGGAAUUCCCGGUGUAGCAGUGAAAUGCGUAGAGAUCGGGAGGAACAUCUGUGGCGAAGGCGACUGCCUGGACCAGCACUGACACUGAGGCACGAAAGCGUGGGGAGCAAACA